UACGUAGGGAGCAAGCGUUGUCCGGAUUUACUGGGUGUAAAGGGUGCGUAGGCGGCUAUGCAAGUCAGGAGUGAAAUCUAUGGGCUUAACCCAUAAACUGCUUUUGAAACUGUAUAGCUUGAGUGAUGUAGAGGUAGGCGGAAUUCCCGGUGUAGCGGUGGAAUGCGUAGAGAUCGGGAGGAACACCAGUGGCGAAGGCGGCCUACUGGGCAUUAACUGACGCUGAAGCACGAAAGCGUGGGUAGCAAACAGG
Molecule: ribosomal RNA, 253 nt
Filed under: uncultured bacterium
Lineage: Bacteria
Description: partial 16S ribosomal RNA
Rfam family: Bacterial small subunit ribosomal RNA
Source: RNAcentral